Ahaetulla prasina is the source of this 2868-nucleotide long non-coding RNA. RefSeq lists it as uncharacterized. Lineage: Eukaryota; Metazoa; Chordata; Lepidosauria; Squamata; Colubridae. The record is from RefSeq and is a predicted model, not a curated record. The transcript has 2 exons.
UGCGCCGGGUGGGAGGGAGGGAGGGAGCCGACGGCCUGCGGAAAGGAGCCCCUGAGCACCUGCUGAGGGCUCUCGGGCUCCCCUCGGGUCGCCUCUCUUCCGUCCCCGGUGCCCGACCGCGGAGAGGCUCAUCCCGGGAUAAUAGAAACGAUUAAUUUGGCGGGGCGGCCACGAAACAUCCAAGCCGGAUGAAACCGGGAGGCCCUCACGCUGUCGUCUAUGGAAGGAGCCUUGGGGGAAGAGGUUGUCUUGGCUUGCAAUUAGGAGGUGGAGCUUUCCCCACUGCCCCUCCCUUCCAGGAGUUUCACCUUCCCCAACCUCAAGGCAGUUCUCAAUGGCCCUUCUGCGGGGCCCUUCCUCCCUCAAAAGAGCUGAUUCGCUUCAUAAAGGCCUUCUUGUCGACUUGGGGCGGCAGGACUCCUGUGCUGGGGUGCAGGUGAGGAGAGGGCCCUUUCCUGAACACCGGAAGUGCCUCCUUGGUAGAGGAAGAUGACUCCCUGUUUCCCCAAGUCCCUCAUAGCCAGUGGAUGAUGAUGGGAUAAUUAGAUGUGAGGGCUCGUUGCAGAUGAUGCUUCUGUUGCCUAGCAACUAAUGGUUUCCAUAGACACAGUGAACCACAGCCUGCUAAGCUGCAAGUGAACAGUGCAGGAAGUCGGGGAGAGAGGAACCCCCCAUCAUCCACUUCCAGGCGGAGGAGAGGGCUGCAAGGAAGGAAGCCACUCCUGGCCUUACUCCUGCUGCUGCUCUGCCCUUUUUGGCAAGAAGGGGCUUCACCUCACUUGGCCUGUCGGCUGAGGGCAAAGAGCCAGUCGGAUGGCCUGCCCUUGCCAGCCUCCAGCGGUGGGAAUGUGAGGAUCCAGCACCUCAACUUUGCUUUGUGGAGAUAGGGCACCAGGUGUGGCUCUACCUUGGGGGGGGGGGGCUGACCUGAAGCUUUCUCCAUCAGUCUAAGCAAUGGGGGGGGGGGAGAAGUUUCUUCCCCAGACAUGCAAAACACAUUUCACUCCUAAUGAUAAACCUUAAACCAAAAAUCCAAGUCAAAUGGGGCAUCACAGCUUCAUGUUUUGAAACUGAGCAGGUGAAGCGAAGAGCUCCUUACCUGCCUGUCCGGGCUGGCCAGAUUCAGCUUCCGAUGCUUGGGCUGAAGGGGGUUUUAGGUCUCUAAUUGGGCACUGAGGUUCAUGGAGUAUUAAUUUUUCAAAAAUCCAGAAUCGGCUUGUAAGUUAUUCCUUAAGAGUUGUUUUGUAGAAGUGUUGGUCAAAUUGCAGCUGACAAACUUUACUUAUUUUAUACAAGGACUUCUCUAUACUGUUUCUGUCAGACAGCCAGCCAGAGUCUUGUGAUUGAGGAAGUAUAAAGAUACUAUAACCCAAUGAAAAAGAAGCAAAGCAUCAGCAUAAUGGAUUUAUAGAGGCUCUCCUACCUUUCUUUUCUCUUCCUGGGGAAGAACCUCCUGAGAAGGUCUCUUCCGAAAAGAAGCAGCUCCUGCUCUUUUCUUGCUUUCCUCAUAUGCAAAUCAAUGCAGAUUUACUCACCAGCCCUAAGCACAAACUAAGGCAAGGAGAGAGGCAGGCUGCAGAGGUGCCACCACUGCUGGGAUCACUGGCAGAAUGUCUGCCAGCUGGAGGGAGGGAGGAAAUCCCAUGGAUUGCACAAGAAAAGGGUGGCCCUCAGUGCCCAGGGAGCCUGCCAGGUAAUCUCUGCCCACUACCAGGCAGAGGGGGUGGGGGGGCAUGACCCCCAGCCUUCCUUUCUCCAAGUGCAUGUUUCCCGCAUCCCCUUGCUAAGCCCGGAGCCAUCAAAGCCCCUACAGCCCUUCUGACCCCGAAGUCCCCCUUAUGAUGAUGUGUACAUAUACUUUAGAAAAGCAAUAGAAGACCAACAUAAUCAUGAAUUAAUAGUUUCCUUUCAUACGCUUUAAAUUUUUAUUACCAAUAAUGUUUUAAGCUGCAGAGAGCAUCUUGGACCCUUUACACACGGCAGGAGAGAAAGUUGAACACCUUUCAUAUGCACUGUCUCAGAUGUAUUUUUGGCAUCACCUGGCAGGACAAAGUUCCAAAUAGUGCAGUCUUGGAACGUGCUGGAAUUUCUAAUAUGUAUACACUACUGAAACAGCGACGUCUACGCUGGCUUGGGCAUGUCAUGAGAAUGGCUGAUGGUUGGAUUCCGAAAGAUCUCCUGUAGGGAGAAUAAGUGCAAGAAAAGCACCUCAGAGGGAGACCACAGCUGCGAUAUAAGGAUAUCUGCAAGAGGGACCUAAAGGCCCUGGGAAUGGACAUCAACAACUGGGAAACCUUGACCUCCGAUCGUUCAGCUUGGAGGCUAAAGACGCAGCAUGGCCUCCUCCAAUUCGAAGAGACAUUUGUUCGGCAGGCUGAGGCAAAGAGGCAGUCCCGGAACCAGCGAAAUCUGGGGGCUGGGCAGGGGACAGAAUGUAUCUGUCCUUGGUGUGGAAGGGAUUGCCACUCUCGAAUUGGCAUUUUUAGCCACACUAGAUGCUGUUUUAGGAUCUCUUUCCAGAGAAAGAAGCCAAUGAAUGAGCAUCUCAUUAUUUUUGACACUGUCUGCAUUUGGACUCCAUUCGACUGAUUUUCAGUAAGAAAAGCUGAGGAAGGGGGCAAGGUUCAGAAUACACAGUUGUCAUAUGAGAUGUUUUACUACUCGUGUUGUUUUUACUUCCUCUGAAUCUUUCAUUUUCAGUGACUUCAGAAAACCGAAGAAUUACCUCUAUUGAGAGAAGCUUUCUUACUUCUUUACAUAUUCAUUUUGGUGUAUUUCAGCUGAUCCAAAUACAGAACUGCUCCUGCAUCUUAGCCACUUUAUGUAUCAUUUAAAAUGACAACAUAGUAAACAUAAUCCACUUUUCAA